Molecule: ribosomal RNA, 253 nt
Filed under: uncultured bacterium
Lineage: Bacteria
Description: partial 16S ribosomal RNA
Rfam family: Bacterial small subunit ribosomal RNA
Source: RNAcentral
UACGAAGGGGGCUAGCGUUGUUCGGAAUUACUGGGCGUAAAGCGCACGUAGGCGGAUUUGUAAGUCAGGGGUGAAAUCCCGGGGCUCAACCUCGGAACUGCCUUUGAUACUGCAAGUCUCGAGUCCGGAAGAGGUGAGUGGAAUUCCUAGUGUAGAGGUGAAAUUCGUAGAUAUUAGGAAGAACACCAGUGGCGAAGGCGGCUCACUGGUCCGGUACUGACGCUGAGGUGCGAAAGCGUGGGGAGCGAACAGG